RNAcentral lists this ribosomal RNA (253 nucleotides) under uncultured bacterium. RNAcentral's name for it is "partial 16S ribosomal RNA". It matches the Rfam family "Bacterial small subunit ribosomal RNA", at positions 524 to 776 of the family's 1533-position model. The record is from RNAcentral.
UACGUAGGGGGCGAGCGUUACCCGGAUUUACUGGGCGUAAAGAGCGCGCAGGCGGUCGGAUUAGUCGCGUGUGAAAGCCCCCGGCUCAACUGGGGAGGGUCACGCGAUACUGUUCGACUCGAAGGCAGGAGAGGGAAGUGGAAUUCCCGGUGUAGUGGUGAAAUGCGUAGAUAUCGGGAGGAACACCAGUGGCGAAGGCGACUUCCUGGCCUGUUCUUGACGCUGAGGCGCGAAAGCUAGGGUAGCAAACGGG